CCGCUGGUAAGCGGCCGUGCCCGAGGGGAGGCAGCGAUGAUCAGUAUUAUCGAGCACACACAACGCAGGCUUCAGCACGCGCGGCGGACACUGGGACACGUGAUGUGGGACCGCGUGCCGGAGGGCGACGUCUCUCGAAGCAUGUACUUACAUGAUGCGAACGUACGUGAUAUUGACGUGAGGGAGGAGCUGUUCCAUCUUCGCGCCGUCGGGAGAAAAUGAAGGACACGUGUUCUGUUCAUCGUUGGCGCUCAGAGAGCGCAGCCUCAGAACUGCGUAGCUCACCAGUGCGUCCCAGGUUACCCGGAACUCGGCUGUGUUUGCACGGCCUUUCGCCGUCUGUAGGUUUUUGCUGGGGACAUCCCACAGGAAAAUGGAAUUAUUUGGCUCAAGAGAGACCUAACCUUGCUUUCUUUUCUAAAGAAAAAAUUACCGAAUGUAUUGGGGGGGACAUUGGGGCAAUAAAAUUGUGUAGGUUUUGGGG
This is a long non-coding RNA of Myotis brandtii (Brandt's bat), 484 nucleotides long. RefSeq lists it as uncharacterized. The record is from RefSeq and is a predicted model, not a curated record. The transcript is spliced from 2 exons. NCBI's taxonomy places the organism in Eukaryota, Metazoa, Chordata, Mammalia, Chiroptera, Vespertilionidae.